Molecule: non-coding RNA, 45 nt
Filed under: Schistosoma mansoni
Lineage: Eukaryota; Metazoa; Platyhelminthes; Trematoda; Strigeidida; Schistosomatidae
Source: RNAcentral
AUCCAUCUGUCAAGUCCCAAAUAGGAUGAAACGCACGUCCUGGAU